This 4184-nucleotide long non-coding RNA is filed under the name Gallus gallus (chicken). RNAcentral describes it as "lncRNA (ENSGALG00010006993.1)". Lineage: Eukaryota; Metazoa; Chordata; Aves; Galliformes; Phasianidae. The record is from RNAcentral.
CUGCUAGCAAGUGGUUUCGCUAUUAGGAACACAGAGCUCUCACUCAGAAGAGGUCAGAUCCCAGUGUGAAAAUCCUUGAUAGCAUGCCGUGAUCAAAGGCUUCAACAUUUCUUCUUUUCUGGUCAGAAAAGAAUGUCAGAUUCUGACAGUUCCUGUGGGGCUGGAUGGACCUCUCCCACUUGGCCCUUCUGUGUGCACAACUUAUCCUGAGGAACAUUCAGCAAUUUUCAAAACUUUGAGCUUCAUCACCAAGAUGGGUUUUGGGGAAGGCCACAGCUUUGCCUGUAUCAACAAGCAAUAUGAUGCAGUUGGAGCAGAUCUCUGGAGUGAGUUGGUGCUGAGGACCCAGCCUCAACACACAGCUGCUCGAGGCUCCCUUCAGUCUGGCCCCAGGCUGGCUGGGUGCCCAUGAGGAGGUGGCAUGCACCAGGAGUGCUGCUGGGCAGCACCUCUCCUCAUGGGCUUGCCUAGCAGAAGCCCAGCUGGAGCUCCUUGAGACCAGUCUGCAGCACAAACUUCAAUGGGUUGUACCUGGGGAAGGCAUGAUCAUUUCAUGAUUUUACGUAAAUUGCAACAAUUAGACAGCCCUCUCUAAGGUUAAGGACUAGCUAAACUCUUGUUCUGACUUCUCUCCCAUGUGCUUGUUGCCUCCUUGUCCGAGAAUGGAUUCUCAACACUGAGAAGAGUUCAAGACAUUCAUCUUAAAUGACUGAAGUCUUUUCCUGGAGCCACGAAGACGUAACUUAAGCGGGAGAUUUAUUGAAUAGAAAACAAAUAUUCCAUAUUCUGAUCCUGCAAAUGACCAUGAGUCAAUAAAUCUGAGAAAGCUGCUCACGCACUUAACCAUUUGCAGAACUGGGUCCCCGAAAAGGAUCUUCAUAGUAAUGAUCAACAAAUAAUGGAUAGAGGUCCAGUGCAGAAAUUUGGAUGCUUAUUAUACUUAUGUAAACCUUUUGGAUUGACAUCACUUGGCUGCAAAUACACGGUCUAAGACAGCGGAAAGUGUUGUAGCACUUCUACUAUUAGUCAGACCCCUGAAGAGCAGAGAGCAUCAUGGAGAAGAAAAAACACUGAAAAAGAAAUAAACCAAACUUUGCUGAAAUGGCAAUAAAAGCUUGUUGCAGAUGGAAAGAAUAUGAUAUAUUACCAGAAAUUAUUAGCCUUUCCAGGUCCAUCCCAGUCAACGCUUUGGCAUGUUCAUAACUUGAAUGCUCUCAUCUUCUGAAUUUGAACAUGUCACCGCUCUGGAUCCCGAGCACAGUCAUGCUGCUGCCAGUGUUGUACCAGCGGGUGGCAUCUGUCCUACCAUGCUUCCAGGAUACUGUGGCAUCUGACCUGCAGCUGGUGCACAUUUCGCAGUCAGAACCAUGACCGUAGGUACAAAGCAUAUAAGGAAUCACAGAUCUAAACAGGCAGUUCAGCUUAAUGAAGGAAUACAGUAUUUUUCUUUGACUCUCACUGACUUCAUAAAGCCAGCAUUUCACUAUAAGCCUGUAUUUCCUUAUCACUUUCCCAAUGCAACUGUGGAUACAGUUCCAUCAUGACAAAGAACUCUGUAGCGCAUCUGGAGACGGACCCCUCACAAGGGAGCAUACAUGCCCCUCAGAGAAGCACAGUCGAGGAAUCCUAGGAGAGUGAUGCAAUUCCCUUAAGUGCCAGAAAUUUCAUAGACCUUGUUGUGUGCACUGGCCACAUGGAUGUAGGAAAACUGAAAAGUUAAAGAUUCAGGCUGCAAGCACUAUGGACUUUGGUCCGGUGCUCACAGGGAGAAGGUGCCUGCCCAGCAGCCUCCUGGAUCAGAUAAAUUGCUGUUUCCCUUACUUUCACCCAUUGAAGUUUGGUGGUUAGUAGUUUAAAAAGUUUAUUGUUCUUUUGUGGUUUGACAUAUUUUACUUAUCUUUAAAACUGGUUUCUACAUCGUCCUGUUGCCCCCCCUCCUCACCUUGUGAGAGGAAACAAAACACAAGUACUGAAGCUGAAGGCUAUUUUAGUGUGAUGCGAAUUAUGCUCUCAGGUCUACCAGGAUAAAAUUAGUGACUAAUUUAAGUGUGAGCAGAGUCAGGACCAUUCUCUCUGCCAUUUCUACCCAAACACAGUAGAGAAGGCCAGAGGCACCACUGCCUGAGCAGGAGCACAGCCAGCAGAAUGAGGGAAGUAACCACUCCCACUCAGCACUCAAUAGCCCACAUCCAGUAUACUGUGUCCAGUUUUGGAUACUCCAGUAAAAUAAAGAGAUUAGUAAUCUGAGGAAAUUUCAGUGGAGGGUUACGGCCAGGGCUGAAAUACCUGCCUCGUGAGGUUGAGGGGCUGGGCUUUCUCAGCCCACAGAACAAUUAUGGGGAGAAAGUAGAUGGAGCCAAGUGCAUGAUGGGAGAAUAAGAGACAGUCGGCAUAAAUUGAAAUAAAAGUGAUUCAGGUUGGAUUUCAGGAGAAGCCUUUUCACCCUUCAGAGAGUCAGGCAGGGAAAGAACUUGCCCAGAGAGGCUGUGCAGUUUCUGUCCGUGGGAGUUUUCAAGAUCUGACUGGGCAGCCUGCUCUGACCUCAGCACUGCUCCUGCCUUGAGCACACAGCUGGGUUAGAGACCUCCUGAGGUCUCUACCAGUCUGAAUUUUCCUGUGAUCCUAUGACAAGGGAAGCCUGGUAUUUCAAGUUAUUCCCCAAGGCAGACCUGACCUCUGAACCUCCCGUGGGCUGCUCAUCACCCAUUAUUUCCAAAGUAAGAGGAGAACAUAGUUCAUCAUUCUAUCAAUAGACUGACAGAUAGACAGGCUGACAGACAGACAUACUGCUAAGACGUAGAGACAGUUGAAGGAGCCCUUCUUUUCAUGUCUGUGCAGUACUUGUACAUUAAAGCAAUGUCUAUUUCAGGUAUAAAAGCAAAACUUUUAUCACUAUUGACUAUUCUGGGGGGUCAUUCUGAAUUGAGUUGGAUAAUUACUAAGUAAUAACAUCAACUGUUCUGCAACCACCAUCAGUGAGAAUGACUUAAAAGAAAUAUUAUAUUCCAGCAUGCUUCAUUGGGAUGUUUUUGGAAAUAGUUAGCUACUAAGACAUUAGAGAUUCAAACAUUAUAGAUGUUAAAAGGUAUAUUAGGUUGCCCACUACUUGGUAAUUAAAUACAAAAUUAAAAACUUUUGGCCCAGAUACAUUGAUGCAUAAUAAUCUCUUUGAUUGAUUUCCUAACUCUAUUAUAGUGUUCCUUUUUAUUACUCUUAGUUUUAUUGAAUUGUAUUUCCUGGUGCUGAAGCAAAAGAGAAAAAUAAUAGCUGCUAGUUGUUAAGAUCCAGUUUAAUUUUGUUCUGCCUAUUGUAAACACAACUGGAAGUGUCUCCUUUAGAAUUGCUCAUGGUCUUUUUUUUUAGAGAUAGGAGUGUGUACAAAGAGAGAAGUAUGGCACAAGUCUGAGAGUCAGGAACAGAGUCAUCUACAUAAUGUAACGAUUUAUAGAAGUGAAGAGGAGGCAGUCUGAGAGGAAGCCAGUACGAGACUGGCCUUAGUUGACUUAUUCAGAAAUUUUAAGAGAGCCAGCUGCAGCUCUCCUUGGGACAAUUUUUCAUUAUGUUAUUUUUUUUUUUCCAGUUUAUACAGGAUACCAAAGCAGUUCUUCUGUUGGUUGCAUAGAUAUUUCCAGGAUCCUUGAAUUUAUGAAACACAAAGCUUGGACAUUCUUGCAAGAAAACGAUAUCUGAUAACAUUGCCAAAGCUGUGUCCUGUACUGUCAGGCAACAUACAAAGGACUAGUAAAAGAAAUAUGAUCAUAUUUGUACUGACAAGUCAACAGAAGAGGUGAAAUGUCCCCAUCGCUGUUUUUUGUGUUUCUGCCUUUUGCGGUCUUAUAGAUAUCCUAGGUAUGAAACAAGUUGUCUUCUGUUCUGACCUCUGAAAACACCAGGAACUGUUCUGAAGUGAUUUAUACAGGUUUUGAUGAACUACUGUGAUGUACUCAGCCCUAUACUAGUUCACCUCUAGAAAAGGACCCUGGCUCUGCAGCUGGUAACUUGCUCUAUCACCCACUAGAAAUGACACCUUGCUCUGCAGAGUACUUUUUGUGGGCUUAGUCAAAACUGGUAGUUGGUGCACUACUGACAGCUUGACAUUGUUGUGAACAGAAAGUGGGGUGAUUUUGUUUUAUAUAUUUUGUUUAUUUCCCCCCCCCCCCAAAUCUUGCAGUAUUAAUAAGAAA